CCUACGGGCGGCAGCAGUGGGGGAUAUUGCACAAUGGGGGGAACCCUGAUGCAGCGACGCCGCGUGGGUGAAGGAGCGUUUCGGCGCGUAAAGCCCUAUCGGCAGGGAAGAAGGAGGACGGUACCUGACUAAGAAGCCCCGGCUAACGACGUGCCAGCAGCCGCGGUAAUACGUAGGGGGCAAGCGUUAUCCGGAUUUACUGGGUGGAAAGGGGGGGCAGACGGCAGCGCAAGCCAGGAGUGGAAGCCCGGGGCCCACCCCCGGGACUGCUCGUGGAACUGCGGGGCUGGAGUACAGGAGGGGCAGGCGGAAUUCCUGGUGUAGCGGUGACAUGCGUAGAUAUCAGGAGGAACACCGGUGGCGAAGGCGGCCUGCUGGACUGCGACUGACGUUGAGGCCCGAAAGCGUGGGGAGCAAACAGGAUUAGAUACCCUAGUAGUC
Molecule: ribosomal RNA, 441 nt
Filed under: uncultured bacterium
Lineage: Bacteria
Description: partial 16S ribosomal RNA
Rfam family: Bacterial small subunit ribosomal RNA
Source: RNAcentral